UACAGAGGGUGCAAGCGUUGUUCGGAAUUAUUGGGCGUAAAGGGCGCGUAGGCGGUGCGGCAAGUCGGGAGUGAAAUCUCUGGGCUUAACCCAGAGGCUGCUUCCGAAACUGCUGUGCUUGAGUGUGGGAGAGGCGCGUGGAAUGCAGGUGUAGCGGUGAAAUGCGUAGAUAUCUGCAGGAACACCCGUGGCGAAAGCGGCGCGCUGGACCACUACUGACGCUGAGGAACGAAAGCUAGGGGAGCAAACGG
Molecule: ribosomal RNA, 251 nt
Filed under: uncultured bacterium
Lineage: Bacteria
Description: partial 16S ribosomal RNA
Rfam family: Bacterial small subunit ribosomal RNA
Source: RNAcentral